CAUCUCUUUACAAACUUUUUACGGUAAUAUUUGCUGUUGUGAGACUAAGGAAUCGCUGUAGGAUUGUUUUAGAAUCGCUGUAGCUCUACAAAACACGCGCGCUGCCAUGAUCUGUAGGAAUGAGAGUACCAAACCCCUGGAUGUUUACACCGGAUAUAGUUUACCCAAGAAAAAGCAGAGGUAAAAAUGAGUGGGUAUUGCCUGAUUGGUGGAAAUGAGGGUUUUGUCCACUGAACCACUGGUGGGGAUGGCAGCACCUACCCCUGCACAGAGACCCCGAAUAGACCUGCCCGGACCAUUAUUAGAAGAGUGGACAGCACUGUGCACCUGACCGGAGAAGUUCCUCGUAAAUGUUACAUUGCGAGGCAGAGAUCGUCGCAGGGUUCGAUUAAAGCUCUCGACCUUCUGAGAGUUGCUGUUUUUGAUCGUCUUGGCCAGGACAGCUGGAGACAAUCUUUUUGAGAUACAAGCAUGGAGCAAGUUCUCAUUCUCGGCCGAACAGGAAGCCCAUCCUGAUAGAGGGAAUGCGCCGCUCGGGUCAGUGGUUACCUCCUGUACCUCGAGGCCAGUCUCACUGAGGAGUUCUGCCAUUCCCUCCUUAGCCCAGGUGAACUCAUCCCCUAUGGUGUGAUGCAUUGGAAGGUUUGCCCCACAUACCCCAGGACUACAACAGUGGUCAACAGUGCCCUCAUCAAGGACUUGCGUGAAGGGGGAGGGGUGUUGGUUGAAAGUAGAAUUUUCCUCAACCCAUCAUUUCCUAAAGGGGUUUGACUUAGGCCAACUUGUAAACCGUAGUUUACAGUGGCAGCCUUUCUCCCUGGGGAUUUGGUCUCUACCUCCUCAUACAAAUUGUACAGGUCAGACAGGAACGGACACUCGGAGUAUGUCAUCCUCAUCCGGGUGGCAAGGCCACGCCUCUCCUCAGUGUCUAGAUCCCAAGUCAGGAUACCCCGACAGUCUGGACUUCCUUGCUGGUGGAGGCGGAACACCUCGUUAAACAUGGCCACUGUCUUGCCGAGAUGUAGCAGCCUGUGCGAGUCCUGGUUUACCCUAAGAAGAGUCAGAGAAGUAUUCAUUUCUCUCAUAAAAGGUUUGGAGUGCAAAUAGUGUACAGGCAGUUACUUCCCUUAGACUUUGAGAAUUAUCAUACAACACUAACAACUGAUGUAUUUUUUAAUUUUGUUGUUUAAAUCUUCCAGAUUGGUAGUUAGUCAGAUGCAUGACUUAUUAACUGCUUGUAUCAUGCCUUAGUUUACAUAUAUCUGCAUGUAUUUACAUUUAGCAGUAGAUUUCAUGAGAAACACUCUCUUGGGAGCUAUAUUUUUCAUAUUCUCUGACGUAACAUAUAACGAGGUGGUUCCUUUGCCAAAAAUGUCUUGAAAAUUUCAUCGAUGAUCAUUAAAUUAAUCAAAAUUUUACUUACAUGUAUAGCAUUUGAGCAUUCCGGCACUCAUUUCCACCUUCAUUUUUCAGCUUCCUGGGCGUAACAAAUGGUGGCACCAUGGCCGCGGGAGCAUUUCCUGUUUUUCUGAAGCUGAAGGAGGGUCCUUCACUAACUGAUCCAUUUCAGGAGGCAGUCUUUCAUAUGGAGCAGUCAAAAAUCAGAUCCAAAUAUCAUCAGAAUUGUCAGAGUCUUUCACUCCUGGUAAUGUCAAUGUCCAUAGAUGGUGCAGCUCAUUCACAUGGUGACAGAUCUCAUGACACAGAAAUUCCAGAACUCAAAUUUCCUACAUGUGCACAGGAUGUUGUCCACUAAGCUAAUGGUGGGGAUCGUAGCAGCUACCCUGCACACAGACAUUGAAUGGAGCUGUCUCGUCCAUUAUCAGAAGAGUGCGUCCGAUCAGAGAAGUUUCUUGAGGAGCAUCACGAGGGACUUGUGUGAAUGGGCAGAAGACAUUUUCUUAACUCACCACUCCAUCAUUGCCUGAUGUUUGAGACUGAACACUUUAUUGAAAAUUGAUGGGAUGUAGCAAUCAAUGGGUGUCAUCAUUUGCCCUGAGAAGACUAAGAGAACUCCCUGGUCCUCAUGAGAUGGUGACACCCUGUAGUAGGAGCAGUUCUUACCGGUAUCUCUUAAAAGAAGACAAAGGUUUUCUUAGCAUCUGAUCCAUUUCUGGAGACAAACUUUUGAAUGGAGCUGGGUAGCAGUUACUCGAGAUGUCUGGCUGAUUGACGAAGAUAAUUGCCCUGCGCCUGACAUUCUUGUAGGACUUGGAUAGCUCUAUCACUGUAAAAAAUGUCAGGACGGUGGAGAUUUAGAUAAGUGGUGUGACGUUAUUGAUGGUAAACAGAAGACUGUGACCUUGAAUCUGAAGACCUGUGAUGAAGACCGGACGUUUGGGGUCACUCUCUGUUACAGUACUACAAAUCUAACAGUGUGACGCUCAGCCACAAAGAGGUUGUCUCUGAUGUCCACACAUAAACCACAUGGACCGCGUAAACCACAGUGAAUGUAACGGAGGAACUGUCCGUCCUGAUCUAGGAUGUGGAUACGGCGAUUGUUACCGUCUGCUGUCAGGAUGUGACUCUGGCUGUCUGUAGUGAUGCCGUGUGGAGUAAAUGAUUGCUUGGUAUUAGAGCGAUGACCAGUGUAUCUAAAUCGGAGUUUUCCUGACUGAUUGACCACCACUACUGCACUAGCUCCACAGUCAGCCACACAGAUAUCCAGGUUCUUGUUCUCACUGAGGUAUUUACUGUCACCAUCAGAUGAGUAGAGAGGACGACCCUGAUCAUCAAACUGAAUGCUUUGUUUCUCUGUGGAGCCGGAGUAACGCACGACUUUGGAUUGUUUGACAUCAUCACUGUCCAUGAUAACCAGGAGGUCGUUACCCGCGGUACAGCAGACAGAGAGAGGUCUCCACCCCUGUAGUGUGAUCACGAAUGAGUUGAGUGGGAAAAUGAGCCUCCAGAUGUAUAUGUACAUGUGUAUAUUAUAAUUAAACUUCUGUUGCACUCGCGCAUGCGAGGUUACUCUA
This is a long non-coding RNA of Ostrea edulis (European flat oyster), 2975 nucleotides long. RefSeq lists it as uncharacterized. NCBI's taxonomy places the organism in Eukaryota, Metazoa, Mollusca, Bivalvia, Ostreida, Ostreidae. The record is from RefSeq and is a predicted model, not a curated record. The transcript is spliced from 12 exons.